AGAGUUUGAUCAUGGCUCAGAACGAACGCUGGCGGCGUGCUUAACACAUGCAAGUCGCGUGCGCAGUUGCCGUAGCAAUACGGUGAUGGGCGCACGGCGCACGGGUGCGUAACACGUGGGCAAUCUGCCCUUUGAUGGGGAAUAACCCGCCGAAAGGCGGGCUAAUUCCGCAUAAGAUUCCCGGAANNNNNNUUCUGGGAUUGAAAGCAGCAAUGCGUCGAAGGAGGAGCCCGCGCCCGAUUAGCUAGUUGGUGAGGUAAUGGCUCACCAAGGCUUUGAUCGGUAGCUGGUCUGAGAGGAUGAUCAGCCACACUGGAACUGAGACACGGUCCAGACUCCUACGGGAGGCAGCAGUGGGGAAUCUUGCACAAUGGGCGAAAGCCUGAUGCAGCGACGCCGCGUGGGGGAUGAAGCAUUUCGGUGUGUAAACCCCUUUCGACUGGGACGAAUGCCUCGCAAGAGGAGUGACGGUACCAGUAGAAGAAGCCCCGGCUAACUACGUGCCAGCAGCCGCGGUAAGACGUAGGGGGCCAGCGUUGUUCGGAAUUACUGGGUGUAAAGGGUUCGUAGGCGGUGCGGCAAGUUGGGAGUGAAAUCUCUGGGCUCAACCCAGAGGCUGCUUCCAAAACUGCUGUGCUCGAGUGUGAGAGAGGCUCGUGGAAUUGCAGGUGUAGCGGUGAAAUGCGUAGAUAUCUGCAGGAACACCCGUGGCGAAAGCGGCGAGCUGGAUCACUACUGACGCUGAGGAACGAAAGCUAGGGGAGCAAACAGGAUUAGAUACCCUAGUAGUCC
RNAcentral lists this ribosomal RNA (792 nucleotides) under uncultured bacterium. RNAcentral's name for it is "bacterial SSU rRNA". It matches the Rfam family "Bacterial small subunit ribosomal RNA", at positions 8 to 796 of the family's 1533-position model. The record is from RNAcentral.